CAUUCGAUCAAUGAAAUGACCUUUCCGUGAAGAGGCGGAAAUAACACAAUAAGACGAGAAGACCCUAUGGAGCUAAAUUAAUAUUCCAACUUAAACAACUUCAAAUCUAAUCGAUGUAAAAUCUGCAACCACUGGAAUAAACAUUUUGGUUGGGGUGACCUCGGAGCAUAAAAAAACCUCCGAAGGACUAACAUUAAGACCAACUAGUCCAAAUUAUAAAUGUCCAAAUAUUGACCCAGAAAUAAUUCUGAUCAAUGAACCAAGUUACCCUAGGGAUAACAGCGCAAUCUUGUUAAAGAGUUCAUAUCGACAAUAAGGUUUACGACCUCGAUGUUGGAUCAGGACAUCCCAAUGGUGCAGCAGCUAUUAAAGGUUCGUUUGUUCAACGAUUAAAGUCCUACGUGAUCUGAGUUCAGACCGGAGCAAUCCAGGUCGGUUUCUAUCUAUUUACCUAUUUCUCCUAGUACGAAAGGACCAGAGAAAUGAGGCCAACUUUACAAAAGCGCCUUAAUACUUAAUAAAUGAUAUUAUAUCAACUUACAAAGUAACUUAACUCACUCAAUUACAUCCCGACAUUAGGGAUUGUUAAGAUGGCAGAGCCAG
Molecule: non-coding RNA, 603 nt
Filed under: Dipodomys ordii (Ord's kangaroo rat)
Lineage: Eukaryota; Metazoa; Chordata; Mammalia; Rodentia; Heteromyidae
Description: Bacterial large subunit ribosomal RNA
Rfam family: Bacterial large subunit ribosomal RNA
Source: Rfam by way of RNAcentral